Molecule: ribosomal RNA, 253 nt
Filed under: uncultured bacterium
Lineage: Bacteria
Description: partial 16S ribosomal RNA
Rfam family: Bacterial small subunit ribosomal RNA
Source: RNAcentral
UACAGAGGGGGCAAGCGUUGUUCGGAAUUACUGGGCGUAAAGGGCGCGUAGGCGGCCCGCUAAGUCGAACGUGAAAUCCCCGAGCUCAACUCGGGAACUGCGUCCGAUACUGGCGGGCUUGAAUCCGGGAGAGGGAUGCGGAAUUCCCAGUGUAGCGGUGAAAUGCGUAGAUAUUGGGGGGAACACCAGUGGCGAAGGCGGCUCACUGGACCGGUACUGACGCUGAUGCGCGAAAGCGUGGGGAGCAAACAGG